GACAGAGGUGGCAAGCGUUGUUCGGAAUUACUGGGCUUAAAGGGCGCGUAGGCGGUGGAGUAAGUCUGAGGUGGAAGAUCAGGGCCUAACCCUGAAAUUGCCUUGGAAACUGCAUCACUUGAGUCAGCGAGGGGAUGGCGGAAUUCCAGGUGUAGCGGUGAAAUGCGUAGAUAUCUGGAGGAAGGCCGGUGGCGAAGGCGGCCAUCUGGCGCUGAACUGACGCUGAGGCGCGAAAGCGUGGGGAGCAAAC
This 250-nucleotide ribosomal RNA is filed under the name uncultured bacterium. RNAcentral describes it as "partial 16S ribosomal RNA". It matches the Rfam family "Bacterial small subunit ribosomal RNA", at positions 524 to 773 of the family's 1533-position model. The record is from RNAcentral.